UGCUUUCUGCAAUAUUGACGAUUCGAACCUGCAGCAGGUUCGAGCCGAACGCAGUGAGGCACCGGAGCCGUUUGAGGCGACGGCCCGAAGGGCGAGCGAAGCGAGUCAUCCUGCACGACCCACCA
RNAcentral lists this small RNA (125 nucleotides) under Enterobacter sp. RIT418. RNAcentral describes it as "Enterobacter sp. RIT 418 RtT sRNA". It matches the Rfam family "RtT RNA". Rfam says of the family: This family represents a bacterial cis-regulatory element known as RtT RNA. The exact function of RtT is unknown although it is thought that it may be involved in changing the cellular response in relation to amino acid starvation. The record is from RNAcentral. Lineage: Bacteria; Pseudomonadati; Pseudomonadota; Gammaproteobacteria; Enterobacterales; Enterobacteriaceae.